RNAcentral lists this ribosomal RNA (541 nucleotides) under uncultured bacterium. RNAcentral's name for it is "bacterial SSU rRNA". It matches the Rfam family "Bacterial small subunit ribosomal RNA", at positions 8 to 515 of the family's 1533-position model. The record is from RNAcentral.
AGAGUUUGAUCCUGGCUCAGGACGAACGCUGGCGGCGUGGAUAAGGCAUGCAAGUCGAACGCGAACGGAACAACUAAUUCGUUAGGAGUUCUUAGUAGAGUGGCGAACGGGUGAGUAACGCGUGAACAACAUACCUUUCAGAGGGGGAUAACACAGGGAAACCUGUGCUAAUACCGCAUACAUCAACAUAACGAUAUUAUAUUGAUAAAAGGUGGGGACCUUCGGGCCUGCCACUGAGAGAUUGGUUCGCGUCCCAUUAGCUAGUUGGUAGGGUAACGGCCUACCAAGGCGACGGUGGGUAGCCGGCCUGAGAGGGCGACCGGCCACACUGGGAUUGAGAUACGGCCCAGACUCCUUCGGGAGGCAGCAGUCGAGAAUCUUCCACAAUGGACGAAAGUCUGAUGGAGCGACGCCGCGUGAGGGAUUAAGGCUUUCUGAGUCGUAAACCUCUGUCGGGAGAGAAGAACAGUAGAUAUAUAAAUAGUAUGUUUACCUGACGUUAUCUCCAAAGGAAGCUCCGGCUAACUCCCGUGCCAGCAGC